This 449-nucleotide ribosomal RNA is filed under the name uncultured bacterium. RNAcentral describes it as "SSU rRNA". It matches the Rfam family "Bacterial small subunit ribosomal RNA", at positions 26 to 518 of the family's 1533-position model. The record is from RNAcentral.
AGAGCGAACGCUGGCGGCAGGCUUAACACAUGCAAGUCGAGCGGGCACUUCGGUGUCAGCGGCAGACGGGUGAGUAACGCGUGGGAACAUACCUUUUGGUUCGGAACAACACAGGGAAACUUGUGCUAAUACCGGAUAAGCCCUUACGGGGAAAGAUUUAUCGCCGAAAGAUUGGCCCGCGUCUGAUUAGCUUGUUGGUGAGGUAACGGCUCACCAAGGCGACGAUCAGUAGCUGGUCUGAGAGGAUGAUCAGCCACAUUGGGACUGAGACACGGCCCAAACUCCUACGGGAGGCAGCAGUGGGGAAUAUUGGACAAUGGGGGCAACCCUGAUCCAGCCAUGCCGCGUGAGUGAUGAAGGCCCUAGGGGUUGUAAAGCUCUUUUAACGGGGAAGAUAAAUGACGGUACCCGUAGAAUAAGCCCCGGCUAACUUCGUAGCCAGCAGCCGC